CCGAGUCUUAACUGGGCGUUAAGUUGCAGGGUAUAGACCCGAAACCCGGUGAUCUAGCCAUGGGCAGGUUGAAGGUUGGGUAACACUAACUGGAGGACCGAACCGACUAAUGUUGAAAAAUUAGCGGAUGACUUGUGGCUGGGGGUGAAAGGCCAAUCAAACCGGGAGAUAGCUGGUUCUCCCCGAAAGCUAUUUAGGUAGCGCCUCGUGAAUUCAUCUUCGGGGGUAGAGCACUGUUUCGGCUAGGGGGUCAUCCCGACUUACCAACCCGAUGCAAACUACGAAUACCGAAGAAUGUUAUCACGGGAGACACACGGCGGGUGCUAACGUCCGUCGUGAAGAGGGAAACAACCCAGACCGCCAGCUAAGGUCCCAAAGUCAUGGUUAAGUGGGAAACGAUGUGGGAAGGCACAGACAGCCAGGAUGUUGGCUUAGAAGCAGCCAUCAUUUAAAGAAAGCGUAAUAGCUCACUGGUCGAGUCGGCCUGCGCGGAAGAUGUAACGGGGCUAAACCAUGCACCGAAGCUGCGGCAGCGACACGAUGUGUUGUUGGGUAGGGGAGCGUUCUGUAAGCCUGCGAAGGUGUGCUGUGAGGCAUGCUGGAGGUAUCAGAAGUGCGAAUGCUGACAUAAGUAACGAUAAAGCGGGUGAAAAGCCCGCUCGCCGGAAGACCAAGGGUUCCUGUCCAACGUUAAUCGGGGCAGGGUGAGUCGACCCCUAAGGCGAGGCCGAAAGGCGUAGUCGAUGGGAAACAGGUUAAUAUUCCUGUACUUGGUGUUACUGCGAAGGGGGGACGGAGAAGGCUAUGUUAGCCGGGCGACGGUUGUCCCG
This 830-nucleotide ribosomal RNA is filed under the name Klebsiella pneumoniae. RNAcentral's name for it is "partial 23S ribosomal RNA". It matches the Rfam family "Bacterial large subunit ribosomal RNA", at positions 677 to 1509 of the family's 2925-position model. Lineage: Bacteria; Pseudomonadati; Pseudomonadota; Gammaproteobacteria; Enterobacterales; Enterobacteriaceae. RNAcentral also lists the same sequence under 1 other name. The record is from RNAcentral.